CCUACGGGAGGCUGCAGUAACGAAUCUUCCGCAAUGGGCGCAAGCCUGACGGAGCAAUACCGCGUGUGGGAUGAAGCUUCUACGAAGUGUAAACCACUGUCAGGGUCUAGUACCAACGAACAGACCCAGAGGAAGGACCGGCUAAUUCCGUGCCAGCAGCCGCGGUAAUACGGAAGGUCCAAGCGUUAAUCGGAAUCACUGGGCUUAAAGCGUACGCAGGCGGACUGGUAGGCAUUCUGUGAAAUCCCACGGCUCAACCGUGGAACUGCAGAGUGAACCCCCAGUCUCGAGGCAGGUAGGGGUGAGUGGAACUAUGGGUGGAGCGGUGAAAUGCGUAGAUAUCCAUGGGAACGCCAAUGGCGAAGGCAACUCACUGGGCCUGACCUGACGCUCAGGUACGAAAGCGUGGGGAGCGAACGGGAUUAGAUACCCUAGUAGUC
RNAcentral lists this ribosomal RNA (440 nucleotides) under uncultured bacterium. RNAcentral's name for it is "bacterial SSU rRNA". It matches the Rfam family "Bacterial small subunit ribosomal RNA", at positions 338 to 795 of the family's 1533-position model. The record is from RNAcentral.